This 253-nucleotide ribosomal RNA is filed under the name uncultured bacterium. RNAcentral's name for it is "partial 16S ribosomal RNA". It matches the Rfam family "Bacterial small subunit ribosomal RNA", at positions 524 to 776 of the family's 1533-position model. The record is from RNAcentral.
UACAGAGGUGGCAAGCGUUGUUCGGAAUUACUGGGCGUAAAGGGCGCGUAGGUGGCCUUUUGAGUCAGACGUGAAAUCCCCCGGCUUAACCUGGGAACUGCGUCUGAUACUGGAAGGCUUGAGUUCGGGAGAGGGAUGUGGAAUUCCAGGUGUAGCGGUGAAAUGCGUAGAUAUCUGGAGGAACACCGGUGGCGAAGGCGGCAUCCUGGACCGAAACUGACACUGAGGCGCGGAAGCCAGGGGAGCAAACAGG